Molecule: ribosomal RNA, 414 nt
Filed under: uncultured bacterium
Lineage: Bacteria
Description: bacterial SSU rRNA
Rfam family: Bacterial small subunit ribosomal RNA
Source: RNAcentral
GGGCCCGCACAAGCGGUGGAGCAUGUGGUUUAAUUCGAUGAUACGCGAGGAACCUUACCAGGGCUUAAAUGUAAGUUGCAUUAGUUAGAGAUAGCUAUUUCUUCGGACCACUUACAAGGUGCUGCAUGGUUGUCGUCAGCUCGUGCCGUGAGGUGUCAGGUUAAGUCCUAUAACGAGCGCAACCCCUGUUGUUAGUUGCCAGCGAGUCAUGUCGGGAACUCUAACAAGACUGCCGGUGCAAACCGUGAGGAAGGUGGGGAUGACGUCAAAUCAUCACGGCCCUUACGUCCUGGGCUACACACGUGCUACAAUGGUCGGUACAGAGAGCAGCCACUACGCGAGUAGGAGCGAAUCUCAUAAAGCUGUUCUCAGUCCGGAUUGGAGUCUGCAACUCGACUCCAUGAAGUAGGAAUC